Molecule: small RNA, 123 nt
Filed under: Marmota monax (woodchuck)
Lineage: Eukaryota; Metazoa; Chordata; Mammalia; Rodentia; Sciuridae
Source: RNAcentral
GCUGGGCUUGGUGGCACACGCCUGUAAUCCCAGCAACUCAGGAAGCUGAGACAGGAGGAUCACAAGUUCAAAGCCACCUCUUCAAAAGCGAGGCCCUAAACAACUCGGUGAGACCUGUCUCUA